Non-coding RNA from Gnomoniopsis smithogilvyi, 92 nucleotides. NCBI's taxonomy places the organism in Eukaryota, Fungi, Ascomycota, Sordariomycetes, Diaporthales, Gnomoniaceae. The record is from the annotation of a GenBank genome assembly.
GGCAACCUGGCCGAGCGGUUAAGGCGCUACGUUCAGGUCACAAGAUCUUCGUAGUCUCGAAAGGGGCGUGUGUUCGAAUCACACGGUUGUCA